CGUGUAGGUGGUUGGGUAAGUCAGAUGUGAAAGCCUUCUGCUUAACAGAAGAAGUGCAUUUGAAACUGUCCGGCUAGAGUACGGGAGAGGAGAGUGGAAUUCCCGGUGUAGAGGUGAAAUUCGUAGAUAUCGGGAGGAACACCAGUGGCGAAGGCGGCUCUCUGGUCCGAUACUGACGCUGAGACGCGAAAGCGUGGGGAGCAAACAGGAUUAGAUACCCUGGUAGUCCACGCCGUAAACGAUGGGCACUAGGUGUAGGAGGUAUUGACCCCUUCUGUGCCGAAGCUAACGCAUUAAGUGCCCCGCCUGGGGAGUACGGCCGCAAGGCUAAA
This 332-nucleotide ribosomal RNA is filed under the name uncultured bacterium. RNAcentral's name for it is "bacterial SSU rRNA". It matches the Rfam family "Bacterial small subunit ribosomal RNA", at positions 568 to 898 of the family's 1533-position model. The record is from RNAcentral.